UUGCACUUUCAGAAAUUAACAGGUUACGAGGCUCAAGUUCCAAAGAGGCCUCGAGGGUUGAUGUCUCCAAACAACCUUCAUUUUCGCUGAGUAGACCCCAACAAGCUCCACGUGCAGGGGCGGGGCUGCAGCGGUGACGCCACAGCACGCAUGCGCGAGUGAGAUUACGCGCAGACCUGCGGGAGCCACAAAGCGCGGACGGUCGCGGCCCCCGCUUCCCCGGAACUCUUUAUUUCCUCCAACCCGUCCCUUCCCAGUCCCUGUCCCUUCCCCCUUUCCGGACCCCGGACCCCUGGUGACUGUAGUUGCUGCUGCGGGUCUUUCGCCGGCCGUGGCGGAGCGCGGAGCUCGUGGGCGCCCAUGAGGGGUUCAGAUCUACGACCGGACGAGUGUUCUUCACGUGAUGGUCAAAAAAGGUGAAGUUACUGGCGUGGAGACAGAUAAAGGGCAGAUCGAAUGCCAGUAUUUUGUCAACUGUGCUGGUCAGAGCCCCUGCUGAGUUCUCUCCUGCGUAGGAUGCCAGAGUUGGAGACCCUGGAGAUCGUGAAGUUGGUGAACUGCCCCGAGACCUUCACACCGGACAUGAGGUGCAUCAUGGGCGAGUCCCCUUUGGUGCAGGGAUACUUCGUCCUGGCGGGAAUGAACUCCGCUGGCCUCUGGUUCGGUGGCAGAGCUGGCAAGUAAGUCUUUCUCACUCACACUGAGCUGAGUGGGCUUCUUCCUUUCUGGAAUCACUUGUUAGAAUGGCAUGUAAUGCAUUUCACCUGGUAUGUUA
Phyllostomus discolor (pale spear-nosed bat) is the source of this 775-nucleotide long non-coding RNA. RefSeq lists it as uncharacterized. The record is from RefSeq and is a predicted model, not a curated record. The transcript has 3 exons. Lineage: Eukaryota; Metazoa; Chordata; Mammalia; Chiroptera; Phyllostomidae.